Molecule: ribosomal RNA, 406 nt
Filed under: uncultured bacterium
Lineage: Bacteria
Description: partial 16S ribosomal RNA
Rfam family: Bacterial small subunit ribosomal RNA
Source: RNAcentral
GAUGAACGCUAGCUACAGGCUUAACACAUGCAAGUCGAGGGACCGGCGCACGGGUGAGUAACACGUAUCCAACCUGCCCUUUACUCGGGGAUAGCCUUUCGAAAGAAAGAUUAAUACCCGAUAUAAAGGAUGGGGAUGCGUUCCAUUAGGUUGUUGGUGAGGUAACGGCCCACCAAGUCUUCGAUGGAUAGGGGUUCUGAGAGAAAGGGCACCCACAUUGGAACGGAGACACGGUCCAAACUCCUAGGGGAGGCAGCAGUGAGGAAUAAUGGUCAAAGGGCGCGAGCCUGAACCAGCCAAGUAGCGUGAAGGAUGAAGGCUUAUGGGGCGUAAACUUCUUGUAUAAAAGAAUAUGUAUUAUAUGAAUAAGGAUCGGCUAACUCCGUGCCAGCCGCCGCGGUAAUAC